RNAcentral lists this long non-coding RNA (523 nucleotides) under Equus caballus (horse). RNAcentral describes it as "lncRNA (ENSECAG00000056569.1)". The record is from RNAcentral. Lineage: Eukaryota; Metazoa; Chordata; Mammalia; Perissodactyla; Equidae.
UGAAGAAAAGUUCUGGAAUUGGAUAGUAGUGAUGACUGUACUACAAGGUGAAGGUGCUUAAUAUCCCUGACUGUACACUUAAAAAUUGUUAAAAUGGAAGCCCAUGCUGACCCACUGGAUGAAACUGGAUGUCUGUGCUCUAUGCUUUCACACGAGCAUGCUUCACCACCUCAGCUAUAGUACUGACCACAUGGUGUUGCAGGGGUUCUCAACUUCUGCACAACUGGCAAUAUCAGGAGAAGAAAAAGAGCAUGGACGCUCAUUCAUGGGGCAUUUACAUGACUCAGGUCAAGCAAUGGCGUGUGUCACUCCUGCUCAUAGUCUGUCCUGUGAGCACACCUGGACGGUGCAGGAGGCUGGAGCAGGACAUCCAAGUCUGUGUCCAGAAUGAAGAGACCACUGACUUGGUGAGAAGCCAGCCAGUCUAUGCUAAAGGGAAACUGAGGCCAUAAAAAAACAGUAAAUGUACAAAAUAGUUUGAGUUUAAUGAUGACUUCCAUGAAGAAAAUAAACAAUGUCUGUG